CAGUGCCACGGUAAAACGAAGGGUGCAAGCGUUACUCGGAAUUACUGGGCGUAAAGCGUGCGUAGGUGGUGGUUUAAGUCCGUUGUGAAAGCCCUGGGCUCAACCUGGGAAUUGCAGUGGAUACUGGGUCACUAGAGUGUGGUAGAGGAUAGUGGAAUUUCCGGUGUAGCAGUGAAAUGCGUAGAGAUCGGAAGGAACAUCUGUGGCGAAGGCGACUAUCUGGGCCAACACUGACACUGAGGCACGAAAGCGUGGGGAGCAAACAGGAUUAGAUACCCCCGUAGUCCCUGUCUCUUAUACA
RNAcentral lists this ribosomal RNA (301 nucleotides) under uncultured bacterium. Its description in RNAcentral is "partial 16S ribosomal RNA". It matches the Rfam family "Bacterial small subunit ribosomal RNA", at positions 509 to 808 of the family's 1533-position model. The record is from RNAcentral.